This 251-nucleotide ribosomal RNA is filed under the name uncultured prokaryote. RNAcentral's name for it is "partial 16S ribosomal RNA". It matches the Rfam family "Bacterial small subunit ribosomal RNA", at positions 525 to 775 of the family's 1533-position model. The record is from RNAcentral.
ACGUAGGGUGCGAGCGUUAAUCGGAAUUACUGGGCGUAAAGCGUGCGCAGGCGGUUUUGUAAGACAGAUGUGAAAUCCCCGGGCUUAACCUGGGAACUGCGUUUAAAACUACAAGGCUAGAGUGUGGCAGAGGGGGGUGGAAUUCCACGUGUAGCAGUGAAAUGCGUAGAGAUGUGGAGGAACACCGAUGGCGAAGGCAGCCCCCUGGGCCGAUACUGACGCUCAUGCACGAAAGCGCGGGGAGCAAACAG